UACGGAGGGUGCAAGCGUUAUCCGGAUUCACUGGGUUUUAAGGAUGCGUAGGUGGAUUGGUAAGUCAGUGGUGAAAUCCCCGAGCUUAACUUGGGAACUGCCAUUGAUACUAUCAAUCUUGAAUACCGUGGAGGUCAGCGGAAUAUGUCAUGUAGCGGUGAAAUGCUUAGAUAUGACAUAGAACAUCAAUUGCGAAGGCAGCUGGCUACGCGAAUAUUGACACUGAGGCACGAAAGCAUGGGGAUCAAACAGG
Molecule: ribosomal RNA, 253 nt
Filed under: uncultured bacterium
Lineage: Bacteria
Description: partial 16S ribosomal RNA
Rfam family: Bacterial small subunit ribosomal RNA
Source: RNAcentral